Molecule: long non-coding RNA, 232 nt
Filed under: Elaeis guineensis (African oil palm)
Lineage: Eukaryota; Viridiplantae; Streptophyta; Magnoliopsida; Arecales; Arecaceae
Description: long non-coding RNA (EGUI_LNC051311)
Source: RNAcentral
UCCCCCUUCAUUCAUCACACAAAUUGAUUUGUAUAAUGAAUAAUCCAUUCCAAAACCCUUUUUUUGUCAUCCAUUAGUGAUAGGAUAAGGUUGGUUUUAAAUUAUAUUCUGAAGGUUUGAAUUUAAACCUAAAACCUGAUUCCUAUCAUUCCACAUGUUGGCUCCUUAUGAAGGUGCCUAUUAUGUAUGACAAAAAGAAAGUAUUCCUAAUUGUUUUUCAUGUCCAAAAUCC